This 472-nucleotide ribosomal RNA is filed under the name Anoplobistus cf. siebersi SB0470. Its description in RNAcentral is "partial large subunit ribosomal RNA". The stretch from base 335 to 472 matches the Rfam family "Bacterial large subunit ribosomal RNA", at positions 2473 to 2611 of the family's 2925-position model. The record is from RNAcentral. Lineage: Eukaryota; Metazoa; Arthropoda; Insecta; Phasmatodea; Aschiphasmatidae.
UUAUUUAAUGGCUGCGGUAUUUUGACCGUGCAAAGGUAGCAUAGUCAUUAGUUUAUUAAUUGUUAACUUGUAUGAAUGGUUUGAUGAAAUAAAAACUGUCUUCAUUAAUAUAAUUAUAAUUUAAUUUUUUGGUUAAAAAGCCUAAAUUUAGUUAAGUGACGAGAAGACCCUAUAGAUCUUUAUUUUUUUAUUAUUUUAUUUAUUAAUUUAUAUUUAUAAUUUUAAUUAAAUUUGGUUGGGGUGACAUGGGGAAAUAAUAAACUCUUCCUUUUUUUUUCAUUUAUUUUUGUUAUUUUAAAUUUUUAUUAUUUGUUUUAGAAUUAGAUACCUUAGGGAUAACAGCGUAAUUUAAUUUGAGAGUUCUUAUUGACAAUUAAUAUUGCGACCUCGAUGUUGGAUUAAGAUUAAUUUUUGGUGUAUAAGUUAUAAAAUUAGGUCUGUUCGACCUUUAAAAUCUUACAUGAUCUGAGUC